GGAGGAUCAUUGUAUUGUAUUGUUGUAGACUAGUCUCGGGAGGAUCAGUGUCUUGUUGUAGACUAGUCAAGGGAGGAUCAUUGUAUUGUAUUGUUGUAGACUAGUCUCGGGAGGUUCAUUGUAUUGUUGUAGACUAGUCUAGAGAGGAUCAUUGUAUUGUAUUGUUGUAGACUAGUCUAGUGAGGAUCAUUGUAAUGUAUUGUUGUGGUCUAGUGAGAAUCAUUGUAUUGUAUUGUUGUAGACUAGUCUAGUGAGAAUCAUUGUAUUGUUAUAGACUAGUCUAGAGAGGAUCAUUGUAUUGUAUUGUUGUAGACUAGUCUCGGAAGGAUCAUUGUAUUGUUGUAGACUAGUCUCGGGAGGAUCAUUGUAUUGUAUAAUUGUAGACUAGUCUAGAGGAUCAUUAUUGUUGUAGACUAGUAUAGGGAGGUUCAUUGUAUUGUUGUAGACUAGUCUAGAGAGGAUCAUUGUAUUGUUGUAGACUAGUAAAGGGAGGAUCAUUGUAUUGUAUUGUUGUAGACUAGUCUCAGGAGGAUCAUUGUAUUGUAUUGUUGUAGACUAGUAUAGAGAGGAU
RNAcentral lists this long non-coding RNA (571 nucleotides) under Salmo salar (Atlantic salmon). Its description in RNAcentral is "lncRNA (ENSSSAG00000083320.1)". The record is from RNAcentral. Lineage: Eukaryota; Metazoa; Chordata; Actinopteri; Salmoniformes; Salmonidae.